UAAUUGUUCGGGCUCUGAAUUAUUUUAUUGAGCCAAUAAAUUUAUUAGAUUUCACACUUUAUAAUUAGUUUAAUUAAUUUAUUUCAAAGACUAGUUUUCAUAAUAAUAUUAAAUUAUUAUUAUUAUGUGCAUAUUUUAAGUAAUUUCUUAUUAUAUGCCAAGCAUGACAUGAAUUUGCAUUAUAUUUUUGCAAUAAGAGUAUUUAAGAUUUAAUUGGUUUUAUUUAUAAUUCCAAUUAUUAAUGAAAGAUGAGUAAGAAUAUUGUUGGUGUUCUUAACUCAAGAGAAAUGUUUUCAAUUAUUUAUUCAUUAAAUUUUGAAAACCGACUAAGUGAAUCAUAGAAUGUUAAGCACUACACCAUGACUUAAGAUUAGAUUCAAGGAGACCUAUUAAGAAUAGAAUUUCUUGUAGGCUUUGUGACCAGGGGGACUAGCGCUGCUUUCCCAAGACAGGUUUUUAUGUGUAUGAUCUUCAGGCUUUGCCUAUCCAGGUUGAGCAGCUGAUGGAAUGGAAUGAUGUUGAGCGGGUGUUCUUUUGACAUUUCAAGAAAUGUAACCUUGAGUAUACAUCUUCAUAUGUAUAUCUCACACGUUUUUCCGCUGCAAACCACUUUGAUUAGAAUAACUCUAUGUUAUGAAGUUGUGACACGUGUUAUUGGGUAACCCACCUUAAUCAGUUCUCCUUUAUGUGUA
Molecule: long non-coding RNA, 692 nt
Organism: Salvia miltiorrhiza (redroot sage)
Lineage: Eukaryota; Viridiplantae; Streptophyta; Magnoliopsida; Lamiales; Lamiaceae
Exons: 2
Source: RefSeq, a predicted model, not a curated record